UCACGCGGUGAGACGCCGUAAGAGAGGAAAACGGGCCGGCUCGUUGGUGAGACUCCGCAAGCGUGGUUCUCGCACACCGCUGCCAGGCAUCUUUCUCUCCAACAUGCACUCACUGUGCAACAAACUGGACAAAAUUCAGCUGCUGGUGAGGAGAGACGAAGACUUCUCUACAUCCUCCGUUCUGUCCUUCACGGAGACAUGGCUCUGCGGACCGAUACCGGACUCCGCGCUCCAGCUGGCGGGUUUCUAUGGCGUUAUAUUUGUGCCGCAAUCCUGAGCGCGUAAUUUUAAGUUUUGAGCACAGAGAACUAUAUUUUAGCAAAGAAAAACAUAUUCCGUGCGCGCAGUUUACUCAGAGGGCACCUGAGUAAACUGCGGGCACGGAAUGUUUUUCUUUGCUAAAACAUCUCUCUGUGCUCAAAACCUAAAAUUACGCGCUCAGGAUUGUGGCACAAAUAUAACGCCAUAGGUUUCCAG
Gasterosteus aculeatus aculeatus (three-spined stickleback) is the source of this 477-nucleotide long non-coding RNA. The record is from Ensembl. Lineage: Eukaryota; Metazoa; Chordata; Actinopteri; Perciformes; Gasterosteidae.